ACACACUCCCUCACACACUCACCAAAACCCUAGCCGCCCUUACCCCUUCCAACAGCAGAACAAAAGAACAAAAAAGGAAAAGAGAAGAGGGGGAGAACCGGAGAGGGAAGAGAAGAGGAAGGAAGGGAGGUGGCGCCGGUGGGCGUCACUACCACCGUCGCCGCCGUCGUGUCGUCGCGAGGAAGGCCAGAACCGAGGGAGAGAGAGCACAAGGAGAAGGAGGCGUCACCGUCGAGGUCUUCAUCGUCGCCGUCCAUGGAGGUUUGCAAACAGAGGGAAGACGCGCCGUUCUACCUAGAGGCGCCACGGGAAGGGUCGUUGCCGUCAAGCCCAGCCACCAUCGCCGCCGUUCGUGCCUCCGUUUCGCGCCGCUAGAUCUGUCACCGGGAGAGAAACAGAAUGCGCGUGGAGAGAGAAGUGGUCGCAGGGAGGUUCCACCGCCGUUGGAACUCCACUGCUGCUGCUGCCAUGGCCGUCGCGCCUCUGCCGCCAAGAAACACCAAGGAGGGACCGUCCGCUGCUGCGUUGUUCCUGUCGCCAUUCGGAUGUACCUGAACCAAGUCGUCGUUGCCACCGGAGCUGAACUGUUCCUGUCAUUAUCACGAUUUUCGGGACUAUCGCCAGCUCCAUUUUGUCGCUACUCCGGUCCAAAUUCUGCGCUCAUUCGUUUUAUUUUACUUCAAUUCUCCUUAUCUUGAUUCGACACUCCGGGUUUGGUCUCUUCGGUCCGUUAGGACCAUACUGAACAAAUAUUUGACUAUGUGAGACUUUCUAUUCAAGAGUAACGGUCUGCAAUGAGUACCUAUUCUUUGUCGAAUUUCUAGAAGUGUAUGCUCCAUAUGUCACAGGAUUAUUUUCCUGAG
Non-coding RNA from Arachis ipaensis, 863 nucleotides. NCBI's taxonomy places the organism in Eukaryota, Viridiplantae, Streptophyta, Magnoliopsida, Fabales, Fabaceae. The record is from RefSeq and is a predicted model, not a curated record.